This 841-nucleotide non-coding RNA is filed under the name Pyganodon grandis (giant floater mussel). The record is from RNAcentral. Lineage: Eukaryota; Metazoa; Mollusca; Bivalvia; Unionida; Unionidae.
GCACUUCGUUCUGAUGCUAAAUUAGCUUUGGCUUCUAAACUACAUAUGGUAACUUAACGUACUUUGUGAAUAAUCUACCGAUUAGGGGAAAUGUUUAACACACUCAACCUGAACCUUAGAAAAGGGUGCUUUUACCUAAGGGAAUAACCCACAACACCAAUGCAUUAUAUUGUCUACAGCUAGGAAACUAGGCAACAAAGAUUGCCGCUCACAAGUGGCUAACUAAGGUGCCAGCAGCCGCGGUUACACCUAAACUUGAAGUUAAUUCCCCCAAAAAAGAGGUCUAUAUAACUGAUCCCAAUUUCAAUUGAAAAGUUAAAAUUUAAACUUUUAGAAAAAUAUCCUAACAGAUCUUAUUAUUCCCCUCAACAAACCACAACUACAAGACAGGGAUUAGAUACCCCAUUAUUGAGUGGCUCUACAACAAUAAAUACUAAAAACGAAAGUUUAAAACUUAAAGAACGUGGCGGUGUUCUACAUCCUUAUUAGGGGAUCCUGUGGCUUAAUUCGAUAAUCCACGACUAAUUGAAGCUUUAUUAGUUCACAGCUUAUGUAUGGCCGUAUUAAGUCUGCACAUUAACAUAAUAAAAGGAGACACUUAAAGACAUACUUUCCUAAUUCAGGUGACAUAUAGCCUAUAUAAAGCAGCUUAUGGGAUACAAAUAAUUAUUCUUAUCAGAAAGUAGUUUGAAAAUUCUACCAAAGGAGGACUUAAAAGUAAGUUUAAAACAAAAUUUCAAACUGAACCAGAUCUAGAAUGCGCACAAAUCGCCCGUCACUCCUGGUCACUAAUCAGGAUAAGUCGUAACACAGUAGGGGUAACGGAAGUUGCCCCUAUAAC